This 484-nucleotide ribosomal RNA is filed under the name uncultured bacterium. RNAcentral's name for it is "partial 16S ribosomal RNA". It matches the Rfam family "Bacterial small subunit ribosomal RNA", at positions 30 to 507 of the family's 1533-position model. The record is from RNAcentral.
AUUGAACGCUGGCGGAAUGCUUUACACAUGCAAGUCGAACGGCAGCACGGGGGCAGCCCUGGUGGCGAGUGGCGAACGGGUGAGUAAUACAUCGGAACGUGCCCGGUCGUGGGGGAUAACGUAGCGAAAGUUACGCUAAUACCGCAUACGAUCUGAGGAUGAAAGCGGGGGACCUUCGGGCCUCGCGCGAUCGGAGCGGCCGAUGUCAGAUUAGGUAGUUGGUGGGGUAAAGGCCUACCAAGCCGACGAUCUGUAGCUGGUCUGAGAGGACGACCAGCCACACUGGGACUGAGACACGGCCCAGACUCCUACGGGAGGCAGCAGUGGGGAAUUUUGGACAAUGGGCGCAAGCCUGAUCCAGCCAUUCCGCGUGCAGGACGAAGGCCUUCGGGUUGUAAACUGCUUUUGUACGGAACGAAAAGGCUCUGGCUAAUACCUGGGGCUCAUGACGGUACCGUAAGAAUAAGCACCGGCCAACUACGUG